Molecule: transfer RNA, 65 nt
Filed under: Desmodillus auricularis (Cape short-eared gerbil)
Lineage: Eukaryota; Metazoa; Chordata; Mammalia; Rodentia; Muridae
Description: tRNA-Lys
Source: RNAcentral
CACUAUGAAGCUUUUAGCGUUAACCUUUUAAGUUAAAGAAAGGGAAUUUACUUUCCCCAUAGUGA